AUAUCUCUCUGUACGGGAAGGAUGAGAAGCUUCGACUAAGGUUCGAUUCGAGCGCAGCGAGAAAGCGUUGCCGCAGGCAACGACCCGAAGGGCUAAGCGCGCAGCGCUGAGUCAUCCUUCCCCCACCACCA
RNAcentral lists this small RNA (131 nucleotides) under Salmonella enterica subsp. enterica serovar Singapore. RNAcentral describes it as "RtT sRNA". It matches the Rfam family "RtT RNA". From Rfam's summary of the family: This family represents a bacterial cis-regulatory element known as RtT RNA. The exact function of RtT is unknown although it is thought that it may be involved in changing the cellular response in relation to amino acid starvation. Lineage: Bacteria; Pseudomonadati; Pseudomonadota; Gammaproteobacteria; Enterobacterales; Enterobacteriaceae. The record is from RNAcentral.